GAUGAACGCUAGCGGCAGGCUUAACACAUGCAAGUCGAGGGGUAGAAGGAGCUUGCUCCUUUGAGACCGGCGCACGGGUGCGUAACGCGUAUGCAAUCUACCUUUUGCAGAGGGAUAGCCCAGAGAAAUUUGGAUUAAUACCUCAUAGUAUGUGAGGAUGGCAUCAUUUUCACAUUAAAGUCACAACGGCAAAGAUGAGCAUGCGUCCCAUUAGCUAGUUGGUAAGGUAACGGACUUACCAAGGCUACGAUGGUAGGGGUCCGUGAGAGGGA
RNAcentral lists this ribosomal RNA (272 nucleotides) under uncultured bacterium. RNAcentral's name for it is "partial 16S ribosomal RNA". It matches the Rfam family "Bacterial small subunit ribosomal RNA", at positions 28 to 301 of the family's 1533-position model. The record is from RNAcentral.